CGGAUCGUAAAGCUCUGUUGUUAGGGAAGAACAAGUGCGAGAGUAACUGCUCGCACCAUGACGGUACCUAACCAGAAAGCCACGGCUAACUACGUGCCAGCAGCCGCGGUAAUACGUAGGUGGCAAGCGUUGUCCGGAAUUAUUGGGCGUAAAGGGCUCGCAGGCGGUUUCUUAAGUCUGAUGUGAAAGCCCCCGGCUCAACCGGGGAGGGUCAUUGGAAACUGGGAAACUUGAGUGC
This 238-nucleotide ribosomal RNA is filed under the name Bacillus pumilus. Its description in RNAcentral is "partial 16S ribosomal RNA". It matches the Rfam family "Bacterial small subunit ribosomal RNA", at positions 419 to 649 of the family's 1533-position model. Lineage: Bacteria; Bacillati; Bacillota; Bacilli; Caryophanales; Bacillaceae. The record is from RNAcentral.